RNAcentral lists this unclassified non-coding RNA (241 nucleotides) under uncultured fungus. Its description in RNAcentral is "partial contains 5.8S ribosomal RNA, internal transcribed spacer 2, and large subunit ribosomal RNA". The record is from RNAcentral. Lineage: Eukaryota; Fungi.
AACGCACAUUGCGCCCGCCAGCAUUCUGGCGGGCAUGCCUGUUCGAGCGUCAUUUCAACCCUCAGGCCCUGCCUGGUGUUGGAGGACUGCGCCCGCAGCCUCCCAAAGACAGCGGCGGCGGCGCCCCAAGACCGAACGCAGUAGUUACCUCUCGUUCUGUGACUGGGUCGUUGUCCGGCCGGAAAACCCCCAUCUUUUUGUGGUUGACCUCGAAUCAGGUAGGAAUACCCGCUGAACUUAA